GCCAGGCGCAGAGGCGCUCACCUGUAAUCCCAGUGGCUCAGGAGGCUGAGGCAGGAGGAUCGAAAGUUCAAAGCCAGCCUCAGCAAUGGUGAGACCCUGAGCGACUCCUUGAGACCUUGUCUCUA
RNAcentral lists this small RNA (125 nucleotides) under Marmota monax (woodchuck). Lineage: Eukaryota; Metazoa; Chordata; Mammalia; Rodentia; Sciuridae. The record is from RNAcentral.